GAUGAACGCUGGGCGGCGUGCUUAACACAUGCAAGUCGAACGAAGCACUUCUCUUUGAUUCUUCGGAUGAAGAGAGUUGUGACUGAGUGGCGGACGGGUGAGUAACGCGUGGGUAACCUGCCUCAUACGGGGGGAUAACAGUUAGAAAUGACUGCUAAUACCGCAUAAGACCACAGGACCGCAUGGUCCGGUGGUAAAAACUCCGGUGGUAUGAGAUGGACCCGCGUCUGAUUAGCUAGUUGGUAAGGUAACGGCUUACCAAGGCGACGAUCAGUAGCCGACCUGAGAGGGUGACCGGCCACAUUGGGACUGAGACACGGCCCAAACUCCUACGGGAGGCAGCAGUGGGGAAUAUUGCACAAUGGGGGAAACCCUGAUGCAGCGACGCCGCGUGAGCGAUGAAGUAUUUCGGUAUGUAAAGCUCUAUCAGCAGGGAAGAAUUAAGACGGUACCUGACUAAGAAGCACCGGCUAAAUACGUGCCAGCAGCCGCGGUAAUACGUAUGGUGCAAGCGUUAUCCGGAUUUACUGGGUGUAAAGGGAGCGUAGACGGAGAGGCAAGUCUGAUGUGAAAACCCGGGGCUCAACCCCGGGACUGCAUUGGAAACUGUUUUUCUAGAGUGUCGGAGAGGUAAGUGGAAUUCCUAGUGUAGCGGUGAAAUGCGUAGAUAUUAGGAGGAGCACCAGUGGCGAAGGCGGCUUACUGGACGAUGACUGACGUUGAGGCUCGAAAGCGUGGGGAGCAAACAAGAUUAGAUACCCUGGUAGUCCACGCCGUAAACGAUGGACUUGCUAGGUUUCGGGAGGCAAAGCCUUUCGGUGCCGCAGCAAACGCAAUAAGCAGUCCUCCUGGGGAGUACGUUCGCAAGAAUGAAACUCAAAGGAAUUGACGGGGACCCGCACAAGCGGUGGAGCAUGUGGUUUAAUUCGAAGCAACGCGAAGAACCUUACCUGCCCUUGACAUCCGGCUGACCGGCGAGUAAUGUCGCCCUUCCUUCGGGACAGCCGAGACAGGUGGUGCAUGGUUGUCGUCAGCUCGUGUCGUGAGAUGUUGGGUUAAGUCCCGCAACGAGCGCAACCCUUAUCUUUAGUAGCCAGCAUUUCGGAUGGGCACUCUGGAGAGACUGCCAGGGAUAACCUGGAGGAAGGUGGGGAUGACGUCAAAUCAUCAUGCCCCUUAUGGGCAGGGCUACACACGUGCUACAAUGGCGUAAACAAAGGGAGGCAGACCUGCGAGGGUGAGCAAAUCCCAAAAAUAACGUCUCAGUUCGGAUUGUAGUCUGCAACUCGACUACAUGAAGCUGGAAUCGCUAGUAAUCGCGAAUCAGAAUGUCGCGGUGAAUACGUUCCCGGGUCUUGCACA
RNAcentral lists this ribosomal RNA (1362 nucleotides) under uncultured bacterium. RNAcentral's name for it is "bacterial SSU rRNA". It matches the Rfam family "Bacterial small subunit ribosomal RNA", at positions 28 to 1387 of the family's 1533-position model. The record is from RNAcentral.